Molecule: ribosomal RNA, 2927 nt
Filed under: Escherichia coli
Lineage: Bacteria; Pseudomonadati; Pseudomonadota; Gammaproteobacteria; Enterobacterales; Enterobacteriaceae
Description: bacterial LSU rRNA
Rfam family: Bacterial large subunit ribosomal RNA
Source: RNAcentral
GGGUUGUGAGGUUAAGCGACUAAGCGUACACGGUGGAUGCCCUGGCAGUCAGAGGCGAUGAAGGACGUGCUAAUCUGCGAUAAGCGUCGGUAAGGUGAUAUGAACCGUUAUAACCGGCGAUUUCCGAAUGGGGAAACCCAGUGUGUUUCGACACACUAUCAUUAACUGAAUCCAUAGGUUAAUGAGGCGAACCGGGGGAACUGAAACAUCUAAGUACCCCGAGGAAAAGAAAUCAACCGAGAUUCCCCCAGUAGCGGCGAGCGAACGGGGAGCAGCCCAGAGCCUGAAUCAGUGUGUGUGUUAGUGGAAGCGUCUGGAAAGGCGUGCGAUACAGGGUGACAGCCCCGUACACAAAAAUGCACAUGCUGUGAGCUCGAUGAGUAGGGCGGGACACGUGGUAUCCUGUCUGAAUAUGGGGGGACCAUCCUCCAAGGCUAAAUACUCCUGACUGACCGAUAGUGAACCAGUACCGUGAGGGAAAGGCGAAAAGAACCCCGGCGAGGGGAGUGAAAAAGAACCUGAAACCGUGUACGUACAAGCAGUGGGAGCACGCUUAGGCGUGUGACUGCGUACCUUUUGUAUAAUGGGUCAGCGACUUAUAUUCUGUAGCAAGGUUAACCGAAUAGGGGAGCCGAAGGGAAACCGAGUCUUAACUGGGCGUUAAGUUGCAGGGUAUAGACCCGAAACCCGGUGAUCUAGCCAUGGGCAGGUUGAAGGUUGGGUAACACUAACUGGAGGACCGAACCGACUAAUGUUGAAAAAUUAGCGGAUGACUUGUGGCUGGGGGUGAAAGGCCAAUCAAACCGGGAGAUAGCUGGUUCUCCCCGAAAGCUAUUUAGGUAGCGCCUCGUGAAUUCAUCUCCGGGGGUAGAGCACUGUUUCGGCAAGGGGGUCAUCCCGACUUACCAACCCGAUGCAAACUGCGAAUACCGGAGAAUGUUAUCACGGGAGACACACGGCGGGUGCUAACGUCCGUCGUGAAGAGGGAAACAACCCAGACCGCCAGCUAAGGUCCCAAAGUCAUGGUUAAGUGGGAAACGAUGUGGGAAGGCCCAGACAGCCAGGAUGUUGGCUUAGAAGCAGCCAUCAUUUAAAGAAAGCGUAAUAGCUCACUGGUCGAGUCGGCCUGCGCGGAAGAUGUAACGGGGCUAAACCAUGCACCGAAGCUGCGGCAGCGNNNNNNNNNGUUGUUGGGUAGGGGAGCGUUCUGUAAGCCUGCGAAGGUGUGCUGUGAGGCAUGCUGGAGGUAUCAGAAGUGCGAAUGCUGACAUAAGUAACGAUAAAGCGGGUGAAAAGCCCGCUCGCCGGAAGACCAAGGGUUCCUGUCCAACGUUAAUCGGGGCAGGGUGAGUCGACCCCUAAGGCGAGGCCGAAAGGCGUAGUCGAUGGGAAACAGGUUAAUAUUCCUGUACUUGGUGUUACUGCGAAGGGGGGGACGGAGAAGGCUAUGUUGGCCGGGCGACGGUUGUCCCGGUUUAAGCGUGUAGGCUGGUUUUCCAGGCAAAUCCGGAAAAUCAAGGCUGAGGCGUGAUGACGAGGCACUACGGUGCUGAAGCAACAAAUGCCCUGCUUCCAGGAAAAGCCUCUAAGCAUCAGGUAACAUCAAAUCGUACCCCAAACCGACACAGGUGGUCAGGUAGAGAAUACCAAGGCGCUUGAGAGAACUCGGGUGAAGGAACUAGGCAAAAUGGUGCCGUAACUUCGGGAGAAGGCACGCUGAUAUGUAGGUGAAGCGACUUGCUCGUGGAGCUGAAAUCAGUCGAAGAUACCAGCUGGCUGCAACUGUUUAUUAAAAACACAGCACUGUGCAAACACGAAAGUGGACGUAUACGGUGUGACGCCUGCCCGGUGCCGGAAGGUUAAUUGAUGGGGUUAGCCGCAAGGCGAAGCUCUUGAUCGAAGCCCCGGUAAACGGCGGCCGUAACUAUAACGGUCCUAAGGUAGCGAAAUUCCUUGUCGGGUAAGUUCCGACCUGCACGAAUGGCGUAAUGAUGGCCAGGCUGUCUCCACCCGAGACUCAGUGAAAUUGAACUCGCUGUGAAGAUGCAGUGUACCCGCGGCAAGACGGAAAGACCCCGUGAACCUUUACUAUAGCUUGACACUGAACAUUGAGCCUUGAUGUGUAGGAUAGGUGGGAGGCUUUGAAGUGUGGACGCCAGUCUGCAUGGAGCCGACCUUGAAAUACCACCCUUUAAUGUUUGAUGUUCUAACGUUGACCCGUAAUCCGGGUUGCGGACAGUGUCUGGUGGGUAGUUUGACUGGGGCGGUCUCCUCCUAAAGAGUAACGGAGGAGCACGAAGGUUGGCUAAUCCUGGUCGGACAUCAGGAGGUUAGUGCAAUGGCAUAAGCCAGCUUGACUGCGAGCGUGACGGCGCGAGCAGGUGCGAAAGCAGGUCAUAGUGAUCCGGUGGUUCUGAAUGGAAGGGCCAUCGCUCAACGGAUAAAAGGUACUCCGGGGAUAACAGGCUGAUACCGCCCAAGAGUUCAUAUCGACGGCGGUGUUUGGCACCUCGAUGUCGGCUCAUCACAUCCUGGGGCUGAAGUAGGUCCCAAGGGUAUGGCUGUUCGCCAUUUAAAGUGGUACGCGAGCUGGGUUUAGAACGUCGUGAGACAGUUCGGUCCCUAUCUGCCGUGGGCGCUGGAGAACUGAGGGGGGCUGCUCCUAGUACGAGAGGACCGGAGUGGACGCAUCACUGGUGUUCGGGUUGUCAUGCCAAUGGCACUGCCCGGUAGCUAAAUGCGGAAGAGAUAAGUGCUGAAAGCAUCUAAGCACGAAACUUGCCCCGAGAUGAGUUCUCCCUGACUCCUUGAGAGUCCUGAAGGAACGUUGAAGACGACGACGUUGAUAGGCCGGGUGUGUAAGCGCAGCGAUGCGUUGAGCUAACCGGUACUAAUGAACCGUGAGGCUUAACCUUACAACGCCGAAG